Papaver somniferum (opium poppy) is the source of this 3527-nucleotide long non-coding RNA. RefSeq lists it as uncharacterized. The transcript has 3 exons. The record is from RefSeq and is a predicted model, not a curated record. NCBI's taxonomy places the organism in Eukaryota, Viridiplantae, Streptophyta, Magnoliopsida, Ranunculales, Papaveraceae.
UCAUAAGUAAGAGUCUUUUAGAUCUAUCUUUUUUUGUUUUAAGUAAUCUAGACAUUAUCUUUUAGUAUUUUGGGUGAAUCUUUUUAUUAAAGAAAAGACCAGACUUGUCGAAAUUUAUGAGCUGAUCAGAGGCUUUAAUAAAGAUAUUUAUGAUUUUUAGAAGGUUAUUACAUCCAUUUAAGUCAGCCUUGCCAAAUAGUAAGCAGUCAUCUGAAGAAAAAAAAAAAAAGUGAGAUGGGUUCAUUUUUUGGUGAAAGUUUCACUCCAUGUAACAGUUUGUUAUGUUCUCAAUUUAGGAGAAGUCGAGAAAACAAAUUCCAUGCGUAUGAUGAAAAUACCCGGGGAUAAAGGAUCCCCUUAUAUAAGACCCCUUGAAUAAUUGAAAGAAUCACCAGGGGAGUCAUUCAGAAGAACAACUAUAUAGGUAGUGGAGAUGCAUUGCCUAAUCUAUCUUACAAAAACAAAUGGUUUUUUUGCCAAAUCCGAUGGUUUUUAAUUGCCCUUUCUCAGCAAUCGGUGGUUCAUAUUACUUUCAAAAUGUUGGAAAGUGAAGGAGAUGAAUCGUGGUUGAAAUUGCAUCCUUCUUCCACGCCCUCAUCCACCAUCCCAGAUUCAAUGUCUUAAUUUCUUCUCCUUUAAUUUCCAUCAGUUACUCCUAGGGUUUUCAUGCGUAACGGGAUGACAACCAUGAUUCUCUUUAAUUCAAACCAGAAUAAUGCGUUACUCAUUAACAACAUCGUAUCAAUCGUUCUACAUAAAACCUCUAAAAGUUAUCUUGCACGGGGUUCCAGUGCUUUCCAGUCUCCUUUUUCUUUAUCAAGAUCUGUUCAUGUAAGUUUUUAUGUGAUUUUUCUAGGGAAAUCUCUAUGUUUUUAAUAUUGUUGUUACUAUCCUAUUAACCCAGCUCUAAGUUUAGGGUUUAAAAUUACCUGCUGAUUUUUGUUCUUUGUUUUUUGUUUAUACAUCAUCACUGGAAAAUUGAUUUCAAAGUCAUAAUCACUUGAAAAUUAAUUAUCCAUCAUUUAAUUGUUGUGAAUUUUCAAAGAUUAGAUAUUAUACGAACCACUUAGUUGAUCAAAUAAUGUUGAUGCCCGCAUCAAGGGGAUGAACUGCAUGGUGUUGGAUCAAAGAAGCUCAUCUGAAACUCGAUCGAUCUGUUGCUACUUGCUACACGCUGGUGGAAAUGAGGUUAAUUGCGAUUUGUUUUUCAUCUAUAUAGUGGUAGGUCCCUUAAGAACUUGGGCAGAAAAUUUUGAAGUGACUAAUCAUCACUAAAGGGUUGCAAAAAGUUUGAAAUCCAGUAUGUAGCGAACCUACCUUAAAAUAAAUCUUAUAGAUCGGUAUAUUCACUAUAUGUAUCUCGAAAUAUAUUGAAUAUAAAGUUGUCUAAUUAUAACAUAAAAUUGCAUCUGUUCUUGAUUUGCAGCUCAAAAAGAAUUGGUUAUUCGAGCAUCAAGGAACAAUGUUCAGUUUUGGGUAACAAGUCUCAACAAGGGUAGCACCAUGUUAUAUAUGAGUCGUCAGGAGGCCAACUACUUUGAAUUAGAUGAUGGUGUUGAUAACGAGUCAUAAUUGCAUCACAAUUUAGGACUCCUCUUCAGGUUGUUUUUUUAGGACUCCUCGCUCUUUAACUUUUAUGCAACAAAAUUAAAAGAUGACGAAUUGAGCAGACGACAUGUACAAAGUGAGUUAUUUCUCCUAGCAAGACUUCUCUGCCAACCAAUUUCAAAUCCAAUUGUGGCUUUGCUUGAAGUGGUUGUUGUAUCUUGAGGAUCUAAUGAAGAGAAAGAAAUAAUUGGAAUCGAAAAGUUCGUGUCAAUUAGUUGUUCAAAUGUUGUCGUCACUAAAGUUAGUUGAUAAUCAGUUUCAUCAAUAUAUUUUCGAGUACUUAACGCCGUUUUCUCGCUUCUUUAAAAUAGAGAAGAAGAACUCCGUCGUGUUACAAAGGUAACAUUAGGAGGAAUAUAUUGCAGGUAUACUGCAUUCUUCGCCAACUUCAAUUAGGUCAAGGUAGUUCUCAUAGUUGUAUCACUAUGUUGUACAUGGUGCACCAAAUUUUGAUUGUAUGGGCACUGAAAAGUCAAUUAUCUUGAUAUUUGUGGUGUCUGUUAUUGGAGUUUGGUCAGGUUGGAUAUCUAGAGCGUGCCAUUUAUAGUUCACUGUUAUGUAGUGAUCACCUUCUUGCACGAACCACUCAUGGUAAAACAUUAAUAAUGGGUGUCAUUAAUAAUUAGAUGAACUUCAUCAACAACACUUGGUGAUCCAGUCUCCAUUUGGUAAAUGAUUGUGAUUUCUGGGAUUUCAGAAAGUAAAAGAUCUCCUUUCUAUUCCUUUUAUCUUGAAAGUGAUUGGUUGGUUCUGUAUCUAGGCCUACAAGUUCAAGACUCUGAUGAUAAGAAGUUCUUGGUUGACACUAUUUUUUCAUUAGAAGAAGGCGAUAACUCUACUCUACUUUGCUUGCUUGAGUAUGUAUACACUUCAUUCACUCUCAUUCACAAGAUUUGAUUCAUUUUAUAUUUGCCUCCAAUACUUUUUGUGGUUUUAGUUUAACAUAUAUGGUUUUGGCCUUAUGGGUUUAGCAUCUGUGAUGUUACAGUUUUCGCCAAGUAUGUGAUUGACUAUGUGUUUAUAUGAUCUCUGAGAAUCCUGACCUUGCAAAUGAAUUUUCAGGGAGUUUUGUUCUUACCUGUGGUUGUGGAUUGACUUUCAUUUUGCAGUUGUCAAAUUAACGCAUUUUGCAAUAGCUAUAUGUAGGGUUGUUGAGUUUUAUGCUCAAGAAUUUUGUGAUUUUAGGAUUUAUUAGCCAUAGGGCAGGCUACAACCGCUACCUUUGUAUGUAACACAAUCUAAAGAAGCACGUAUAUGGGAUCUGAGGUGUGGAAGGCCAAUAUAGUUUUUUACUCCUGGCAAUCGAAUUUUAACCUUAGAUCCAGAUGAGGUUAGUUUUGUUCUUCAAGCCCGUUGCUGAUCUUCUAGCACCAAUAUACGAUUUUGAAGUGCAAAUGUAGCCAAGGAUUUUGGGGUUUUAAGUACCAACUGUUUUGAGCAUGAGUCAAAUAUCAUAGGAGAUGUUAAAUUUUAAUUUACUUGUUCCAUUUAACUCAUAGAGCAGAAUAUGUGAUAUAUCUAGCUAGGAAAGUCCUUGGCCUUGGUUAAGCAGAAUCUUCUAUAACUUUCACUCUGUUGAGCUUCUAUCAUUUAUAGUAAUUCUUUCAUGUUAGGUGACCAAUUUGAUAAUUAUGAUGACCAUAGUUGUGAGCAGAGUUAUGGAGUCUCAGAGAGCCUAGGUCAUGAUCAUUCUAUAUUAUCAAGAUUCGUCCUUUUUUUUUCUUUUUUUUUUGCUUUUAAGCCCAUUCCUUGAUAUAAGUAUUGCAGAUACAGAGACACAAAAGUAUUAUAGUAUACCCUGAAGUGUUUCAUGAAGAAACAAUUCCACUCUGAUAUUUUUUGUAUUUGGGAAGCUACUCAUUUUUUCUCACUGCAAAGUUGUACCAGCAAAUUUUUGGUCUGAGCCCAAUUUUUUACCC